UGAAAGGAAACUCAGAAAAUGUGGCCAGAG
RNAcentral lists this non-coding RNA (30 nucleotides) under Homo sapiens (human). Lineage: Eukaryota; Metazoa; Chordata; Mammalia; Primates; Hominidae. The record is from RNAcentral.